RNAcentral lists this ribosomal RNA (445 nucleotides) under uncultured bacterium. RNAcentral's name for it is "partial 16S ribosomal RNA". It matches the Rfam family "Bacterial small subunit ribosomal RNA", at positions 43 to 523 of the family's 1533-position model. The record is from RNAcentral.
CAUGCCUUAUACAUGCAAGUCGAACGCGAAAGUCCAGCAAUGGGCGAGUAGAGUGGCAAACGGGUGAGUAACGCGUGGGAACAUACCUUUAGGUGCGGAAUAGCCUCGGGAAACUGGGAUUAAUACCGCAUGAUGUCUUCGGACCAAAGAUUUAUCGCCUAAAGAUUGGCCCGCGUCAGAUUAGCUAGUUGGUGGGGUAAUGGCCUACCAAGGCAACGAUCUGUAGCUGGUCUGAGAGGACGAUCAGCCACAUUGGGACUGAGACACGGCCCAAACUCCUACGGGAGGCAGCAGUAGGGAAUAUUGGACAAUGGACGCAAGUCUGAUCCAGCAAUGCCGCGUGAAUGAUGAAGGCCUUAGGGUUGUAAAGUUCUUUAAGUGGGGAAGAUAAUGACGGUACCCACAGAAUAAGCACCGGCUAACUUCGUGCCAGCCGCCGCUGUAA